This 484-nucleotide ribosomal RNA is filed under the name uncultured bacterium. Its description in RNAcentral is "partial 16S ribosomal RNA". It matches the Rfam family "Bacterial small subunit ribosomal RNA", at positions 29 to 507 of the family's 1533-position model. The record is from RNAcentral.
AUUGAACGCUGGCGGCAUGCUUUACACAUGCAAGUCGAACGGCAGCGCGGGCUUCGGCCUGGCGGCGAGUGGCGAACGGGUGAGUAAUACAUCGGAACGUGCCCAGUAGUGGGGGAUAGCUCGGCGAAAGCCGGAUUAAUACCGCAUACGACCUGAGGGUGAAAGCGGGGGAUCUUCGGACCUCGCGCUAUUGGAGCGGCCGAUGGCAGAUUAGCUAGUUGGUGGGGUAAAGGCCUACCAAGGCGACGAUCUGUAGCUGGUCUGAGAGGACGACCAGCCACACUGGGAAUGAGACACGGCCCAGACUCCUACGGGAGGCAGCAGUGGGGAAUUUUGGACAAUGGGCGAAAGCCUGAUCCAGCAAUGCCGCGUGUGUGAUGAAGGCCUUCGGGUUGUAAAGCACUUUUGGCGGGAACGAAAAGGACUGUGCCAAUACCACGGUUCGAUGACGGUACCCGCAGAAUAAGCACCGGCUAACUACGUG